This 663-nucleotide ribosomal RNA is filed under the name uncultured phototrophic eukaryote. RNAcentral describes it as "LSU rRNA". It matches the Rfam family "Eukaryotic large subunit ribosomal RNA", at positions 646 to 1283 of the family's 3401-position model. The record is from RNAcentral.
GACCCGUCUUGAAACACGGACCAAGGAGUCUAACAUGUGUGCAAGUAUUAGGGUGUGGAAACCCAAAUGCGCAAUGAAAGUAAAGGGUAGCGAAAGUUACCUGAGGUAGGAAAGCUUUGUUUACAAGGCUGGCACUAUCGACCGAUCAUGAACCUUCGUGGUGAAAGAUUUGAGUAUGAGCACAUAUGUUGGUACCCGAAAGAUGGUGAACUAUGCCUGAAUAGGGUGAAGCCAGGGGAAACUCUGGUGGAAGCUCGUAGCGAUUCUGACGUGCAAAUCGAUCGUCAAAUUUAGGUAUAGGGGCGAAAGACUAAUCGAACCAUCUAGUAGCUGGUUCCCUCCGAAAUUUCCCUCAGGAUAGCAGCAACUUGUCACAGUUUUAUGAGGUAAAGCGAAUGAUUAGAGGCUUCGGGUGAGAAACUCACGCGACCUAUUCUCAAACUUUAAAUCUGUAAGACCUGCAGGUUUCUUAAUUGAACUUGCGGAUGUGAAUGUUGAGUUGCUAGUGGGCCAUACUGGGUAAGCUAGUCUGGCGAUGCGGGAUGAACCGAACGUGACGUUAAAGUGCCAAAAUGCUCGCUCACCUAGAUACCAUAAAAGGUGUUGGUUCAUAUAGACAGCAGGACGGUGGCCAUGGAAGUCGGAAUCCGCUAAGGAGUGUGU